GUGCUUGCUUCAAGCAUGUAUACUGCAAUGGGAACGAUACAGAGAAGAUUGGCGUGGCCCCCGUGCACGGGUGACACGCAAAUUCGUGAAGCUUUCCACAUUUUU
This is a small nuclear RNA of Trichechus manatus latirostris (Florida manatee), 105 nucleotides long. The record is from RefSeq and is a predicted model, not a curated record. NCBI's taxonomy places the organism in Eukaryota, Metazoa, Chordata, Mammalia, Sirenia, Trichechidae.